This 254-nucleotide ribosomal RNA is filed under the name uncultured bacterium. RNAcentral describes it as "partial 16S ribosomal RNA". It matches the Rfam family "Bacterial small subunit ribosomal RNA", at positions 524 to 777 of the family's 1533-position model. The record is from RNAcentral.
UACAGAGGUGCCGAGCGUUAGGCGGAAUCACUGGGCUUAAAGCGUGUGUAGGCGGAUGCCUAAGUACCUUGUGAAAUCCCCCGGCUUAACCGGGGAACUGCUUGGUAUACUGGGUGUCUUGAGCCACUUAGGGGCGACCGGAACAAACGGUGGAGCGGUGAAAUGCGUAGAUAUCGUUUGGAACGCCAAUGGUGAAAACAGGUCGCUGGGAGUGUGCUGACGCUGAGACACGAAAGCCAGGGGAGCGAACGGGG